This is a long non-coding RNA of Agelaius phoeniceus (red-winged blackbird), 830 nucleotides long. RefSeq lists it as uncharacterized. The record is from RefSeq and is a predicted model, not a curated record. NCBI's taxonomy places the organism in Eukaryota, Metazoa, Chordata, Aves, Passeriformes, Icteridae.
UGGAAUAUGUGAUAAUUCCCAACCUCCCCUGCUGUCCCAGCUCUCUGCAGAGCUGGGUUGGAUUGGAUUUGCACUCCAGCACUGGAAAUACGAGGUGACAACGUGACAUUCCAGGUGACAAUGUGACAUUCCAGGUGACAAUGUGACAUUCCAGGUGCAGAUUCACAUUUGCUCACCUGUGUCUGGCCACAACACAUCCCCACUCCCAGGCAGUCACAUCCAUGGAGUAUGUGACUAUUCCCAAUCUCCCCUGCUGUCUCAGCUCUCCACAGAGCUGGGUUGGAUUGGAUUUGCACUCCAGCACUGGAAAUGCGAGGUGACAACGUGACAUUCCAGGUGACAAUGUGACAUUGGAGGUGCAGCAGCACAGCUGACCCUGUGGAUGUGGUGGGUUGACACUGGAUGGAUCCUGGGUGCCCUCCAGAGAGACAUUCCUCCAUGAACUUCCCACCCUGAGUCCUUCCCACAGGCUGCAGUCCUCCAUGAACUUCUCCAGUAUGGGUCCUUCCCACAGGGUCAGUCCUUCAGGAACAGGAUGCUCCAGCCUGGAUCUCUUCCACAGGAUCAUGAGUCCUGCCAGCAAACACGCUCCAGUGUGGGUUCCUCUCUGCAUGGACACACAAAUCCUGCCAGGAUCCUGCUCCAGUGUGGGUUCCCCUCUGCAUGGACACACAAAUCCUGCCAGGAUCCUGCUCCAGUGCGGGUUCCCCUCUGCAUGGACACACAAAUCCUGCCAGGAUCCUGCUCCAGCGUGGGUUCCUCUCUGCAUGGACACACAAAUCCUGCCAGGAUCCUGCUCCAGUGUGGGUUCCUCUCUGCAUGGACACACA